UGCCAGCCGCCGCGGUAAUACGGAGGGUGCAAGCGUUAAUCGGAAUUACUGGGCGUAAAGCGCGCGUAGGCGGCGGUUUAAGUCAAAUGUGAAAGCCCAGGGCUCAACCUUGGAACUGCAUUUGAUACUGCAUGACUAGAGUGCGAUAGAGGGGGGUAGAAUUUCGGGUGUAGCGGUGAAAUGCGUAGAGAUCUGAAGGAAUACCAGUGGCGAAGGCGGCCCCCUGGAUUGACACUGACGCUGAGGUGCGAAAGCGUGGGGAGCAAACAGGAUUAGAUA
Molecule: ribosomal RNA, 279 nt
Filed under: uncultured bacterium
Lineage: Bacteria
Description: partial 16S ribosomal RNA
Rfam family: Bacterial small subunit ribosomal RNA
Source: RNAcentral